RNAcentral lists this long non-coding RNA (184 nucleotides) under Dermacentor andersoni. RNAcentral describes it as "uncharacterized LOC126527076". Lineage: Eukaryota; Metazoa; Arthropoda; Arachnida; Ixodida; Ixodidae. The record is from RNAcentral.
UUCGUGGUGUCGGGCCCUGCAGCUGUUGCUGGGCCAAGUGGCCUUACACAGCCACCGGCUACCCCCCAGGUGCUGCGGCCUACCACCCAGGUGCCGCAGCCAACCCCGCAGGUGCCGCAGCCUACCCCCCAGGUGCCGCAGCCUACCCCUCGAGAGCCACGGGCACCCCGUAGACAGCCCAGGC